Molecule: transfer RNA, 74 nt
Filed under: Vibrio campbellii ATCC BAA-1116
Lineage: Bacteria; Pseudomonadati; Pseudomonadota; Gammaproteobacteria; Vibrionales; Vibrionaceae
Description: tRNA-Asn
Rfam family: tRNA
About the family: Transfer RNA (tRNA) molecules are approximately 80 nucleotides in length.
Source: RNAcentral
UCCUCCUUAGCUCAGUUGGUAGAGCGACGGACUGUUAAUCCGCAGGUCACUGGGUUCAAGUCCAGUAGGAGGAG